This 101-nucleotide ribosomal RNA is filed under the name Escherichia coli. RNAcentral describes it as "partial 23S ribosomal RNA". It matches the Rfam family "Bacterial large subunit ribosomal RNA", at positions 2825 to 2925 of the family's 2925-position model. Lineage: Bacteria; Pseudomonadati; Pseudomonadota; Gammaproteobacteria; Enterobacterales; Enterobacteriaceae. The record is from RNAcentral.
GUUAUAAGAUCCCUCAAAGAUGAUGAGGUUAAUAGGUUCGAUGUGGAAGCAUGGUGACAUGUGGAGCUGACGAAUACUAAUCGAUCGAAGACUUAAUCAAA